This 345-nucleotide long non-coding RNA is filed under the name Helianthus annuus (common sunflower). Its description in RNAcentral is "sRNA HanXRQr2_Chr07g0302921". The record is from RNAcentral. Lineage: Eukaryota; Viridiplantae; Streptophyta; Magnoliopsida; Asterales; Asteraceae.
UUACUAUCGCUAUCACCAGCGACAACCUUACACUCGCACGAGGCUUUCCUUUCCUCUCUCUCUCUCCGAUCCGAGUCUGUUAAACCUUCGAUUCCCGAUAUAUGGAUUGUUGGAGUAUUUUGUUGAUGAUAUGGAUAUAGUUGUUAGAUUUCUGUUUAUGGACUUGCUAUCUGGGAGCACUGGAGUGGUCAUGGAUCAAAACUCUUGGAUACUCGCUUUAUUGAUUAUGAACAUAUGAUUUGAAACAUUUGAAUUACUAUUUAUGUUAUGCUUCCGCUGAAUAGUUGUUUUGGUUUAACUUAUGUCUUGGAUUGAUACUUUGAACUGAAUGGAAUGUUUUUAUUA